AUUGAACGCUGGCGGCAUGCCUUACACAUGCAAGUCGAACGGCAGCGGACCUUCGGGUGCCGGCGAGUGGCGAACGGGUGAGUAAUGCAUCGGAACGUGCCAUUGAGUGGGGGAUAACGUAGNGAAACCCCCCGUUAGCUAAUACCGCAUAUUCUGUGAGCAGGAAAGCAGGGGACCGCAAGGCCUUGCGCUCUUUGAGCGGCCGAUGUCAGAUUAGCUAGUUGGUGAGGUAAAGGCUUACCAAGGCGACGAUCUGUAGCGGGUCUGAGAGGAUGAUCCGCCACACUGGAACUGAGACACGGUCCAGACUCCUACGGGAGGCAGCAGUGGGGAAUUUUGGACAAUGGGCGCAAGCCUGAUCCAGCCAUGCCGCGUGAGUGAAGAAGGCCUGGUGUAAG
RNAcentral lists this ribosomal RNA (398 nucleotides) under uncultured bacterium. Its description in RNAcentral is "bacterial SSU rRNA". It matches the Rfam family "Bacterial small subunit ribosomal RNA", at positions 30 to 429 of the family's 1533-position model. The record is from RNAcentral.